CUCAGCACUCACAUCACUGCUCCAUCAUUAUUCACAGGAACCAACCUGGACCUGAACCCAGCUGUGUGUCCUUAAGGAGCGACCAUUCAAAGGAUUUUGAUAUUGAUUUGAAACAAAGACAUCUAUCUGACACAGAGAUGUAUCAGAAACCUGAACACAGCUGUGUGUCCUUAAAAAGCGACAGGUCAAUGGAUUUUAAUCCUCAUUUUAAAGAAAAUACUCCUGCUGCAGAGAGAGUGGACCAGGAGAGUUCAAAGGUUCCCAGUGAUCAACCUGCCAUGCAGCAUCAA
Oreochromis aureus is the source of this 290-nucleotide long non-coding RNA. RefSeq lists it as uncharacterized. The record is from RefSeq and is a predicted model, not a curated record. NCBI's taxonomy places the organism in Eukaryota, Metazoa, Chordata, Actinopteri, Cichliformes, Cichlidae. The transcript is spliced from 3 exons.